AUGAAUUUUAUCAGAAUAUGUUCACUGGUUUUGAAGUGUAGCAUGUGGAAUUACUUGAAGCUUACAUUUCUUCUCUUAUUCCCAGCAUCUUCGAUGCUCCCUGUUCUUCUGUUGCUUCUCUUGUCAUAUGUAUUCCAAGCGGCAUCAGUUAGAGCAUUCAAUAAUAGGACUGAUGUGGAUUCCUUGCUGGUGUUCAAGGCAAGCAUAAGCAACCAGCACGGUGUCCUAGCUGCAUGGAACACAAGUACAGACUUCUGCCAGUGGCCAGGCAUCGGUUGCAGCCUUAAGCAUAAGCACAGGGUCACAGUGCUUAACCUCUCUUCGGAGGUCCUUGGUGGCACGAUCGCACCUUCCAUUGGGAACCUCUCUUUCUUGAGAAUUCUAGAUCUCAGGCGGAACAAUCUGCAAGGUGAAAUACCUUCAUCCUUUGGUCGCCUGUCUCGCCUACGAUAUCUUAAUUUAUCCAACAACUCACUUCAUGGUGAUGUAAAUGAUAAAUUGAAGAAUUGCACCAGCCUUGAAAGAAUGCACAUUGGUUCAAACCGUUUGGCUGGAGAAAUCCCUGCUUGGCUCGGAGACUUGUUAAGUCUCAAAGUCAUAGACCUAGGCAGUAACAACUUCACUGGAAUCAUCCCGUCGUCACUUACCAAUCUCUCAGCAGUGCAAGCAAUCUAUUUCAACACAAACCAACUUGAGGGUGUCAUCCCUGAGGGCCUUGGCAGGCUUGGUGGCCUUGCCUACAUAGACUUGGGAGAAAAUUGCCUCUCAGGCACCAUCCCUACAGCUCUCUUGAACCAUUCCUCUCUAAUAGGCUUGGGUGUGGGAGCAAAUGAUUUGUGCGGUAAACUUCCCCCGGACUUUGGGGAUCAGCUCCCAAAUCUUGAGUACCUACUCCUUGGUGUUAACCACUUUACAGGAAACCUUCCAGCUUCUCUUGUCAACUCAACUAAGAUAUAUGAGCUAGAUGUCUCCUUCGACAACUUCACCGGAAUAUUGCCUCCAGAGAUUGGAAUGCUCUGCCUAGAACAACUCACUCUCGGAGCAAAUCAGUUCAUGGCAAAUACUGUGCAGGACUGGGAGUUCUUGACAUUGUUGACAAACUGCACACGCCUCCGUACAUUUAGCCUCCAGCUCAACAUGCUAGGUGGCAUGCUGCCUAUUUCAGUUGCCAACCUAUCAGCACAACUCGAAUUGCUAUAUGUUGGAGCCAAUGAGAUUUCUGGAAAAAUACCAUUUGGCAUAGGCAAUCUUGUUGGAUUAACUCAAUUGCAGCUAGCUAAUAACCAAUUUACUGGUUCCUUGCCUGACACCAUAGGGAGGCUAAAUUCGCUACAAACCCUGGAGUUGCAAAAUAACCUAGUGACAGGGUUCAUGCCAUCGUCUCUUGGGAACUUGACACAACUACUAAAUCUGUACACACACAACAACAUGUUUGAGGGGCCUCUUCCAACAAGCCUCGGGAGCCUACAAGAGAUAAUUUCAGCAACCUUCUCAAACAAUAAGUUCACAGGUCCAUUGCCUAAAGACAUCUUUAACCUAUCGUCACUGUCAGACGCCCUGGAUUUGUCUAGGAAUUACUUUGUUGGUUCCCUUCCACCAGAAGUAAGCGGCUUGACAAACCUUGCACACUUAUACUUAUCACGGAACAACUUGUCAGGGCCCCUACCUAAUACACUCAGCAACUGUCAAAGCUUGAUAGAACUUGGGCUGGACGAUAACUCCUUUGAUAGCAGCAUUCCCUCAUCUAUCAGCAACAUGCGAGGUCUGAUGUUGCUAAAUCUUACAAAGAACAUGCUUUCAGGUGUUAUUCCUAAAGAUCUAGGGCUAAUGAGUGGCCUUCAAGAGUUAUACCUAGCAUGCAACAACUUGUCUGGUCAUAUCCCAGAAAGCUUGGAAAACAUGGCAUCAUUGUACCAGUUAGACCUGUCAUUCAACCAUUUGGAUGGCAAAGUUCCAUCAUGGGGAGUGUUCAGUAAUGCAUCUGGGUUUUCGUUUGGUGGGAAUUUGGGGCUUUGUGGUGGUCUACCAGAUUUACAUUUGCCCCCAUGCCAGCCGGAAUCCGUGGGACAUGGCUUGAGCAAACGCCAUUUGACUAUGAUCCUAGUUACUGCAAUUGCUGGCAUAAUUCUUGCUUUGAGUUUGGUGCUUGUUUUCUUCACAAUGAGAAAGAUAUCAAAAGCUCGGCCUACAACCAUAGGAGGAUUCCAGUUGAUAGUUGACAGUUAUCCCAGAGUUACUUAUGCUGAAUUGGUCCAAGGAACAAGUGGCUUUGCAGUAGACCACUUGAUUGGCAGAGGAAGGUAUGGAUCGGUGUAUAAGUGUUGUUUACUACUAAAAAAUAUGAUGACCACAGUAGCUGUAAAGGUUUUUGAUCUUCAACAGUCUGGCUCUUCCAGAAGCUUUUUAGCUGAGUGCGAGGCACUUAGUAAAAUCCGCCAUCGUAAUUUGGUCAGUCUCAUAACUUGUUGUUCAAGCACUGACUCGAACCAAAACGACUUCAAAUCCAUUGUGUUCGAGUUCAUGCCUAAUGGGAGCCUGGAUAGGUGGUUACACAUGGAUGUACAUGUAUCACAUCAACUUCAAGGCUUGACAUUGAUGCAGAGACUAAAUAUUGCAGUUGAUAUUGCUGAUGCACUAGAUUAUUUGCACAAUAACUGUGAUCCACCAAUAGUUCACUAUGACUUGAAGCCAGGCAACAUUCUUCUUAAUGAGGAUUUAGUUGCUCAUGUUGGGGACUUUGGCCUUGCAAAGAUUCUUUCUGAACCAGCAGCUAACCAACUGAUCAAUUCAAAGAGCACAGUUGGAAUAAGAGGAACAAUUGGAUACGUCGCUCCAGAAUAUGGCGAAGGUGGCCAGGUUUCUUCAUGUGGAGAUGUGUACAGCCUCGGAACUGUCAUCCUCGAGUUGUUUACAGGCAUGGCACCUACUCAUGACAUGUUCAGAGAUGGGUUGACCCUGCAGAAACAUGCCCAGAAUGCUUUUCCAGAGAUGCUAAUGCAGAUUGCUGAUCCAGUCCUACUGUCCACUGAAGAAGCCAAUACUAAUAGUUUGCAGGAUGGAAGCAACACAAUGGAACAUGCCAUAUUCUCUGUCAUGAAGGUUGCGCUAUCAUGCAGCAAGCAUGCACCGACAGAGAGAAUGUGCAUCAGAGAUGCUGCUGCUGCGAUUCAGAGGAUAAGAGAUGGCUAUGUUAAAGCAAGACAAAAUGAGGGGGUUGUUACAGCUGCAUUUACCGCAAGGCAUUUUGCUGAAACAUCCUGGGCAGCCCCUUGA
This 3273-nucleotide ribosomal RNA is filed under the name Triticum aestivum (bread wheat). Its description in RNAcentral is "partial small subunit ribosomal RNA". Lineage: Eukaryota; Viridiplantae; Streptophyta; Magnoliopsida; Poales; Poaceae. The record is from RNAcentral.